CAUUCUCUCCGGAAUCCUAUCUGACAGGUUUGGCCGGAGACCCAUUUUCUUGAUAGCGGUGUGUGUACUAGCCUUACUCGGAACCUUACUUAUGUUGUCUCCAAAUAUCAUCAUCUACACAUUGAUAUAUACUUGUAUAUGGAUGAUCGAAAUACCCGUAUUUUUGACGCCCUACACAAUAGGAAUGGAAUUUGUAGGCAAAAGUAAAA
Lingula anatina is the source of this 209-nucleotide long non-coding RNA. The record is from RefSeq and is a predicted model, not a curated record. NCBI's taxonomy places the organism in Eukaryota, Metazoa, Brachiopoda, Lingulata, Lingulida, Lingulidae.